RNAcentral lists this long non-coding RNA (2548 nucleotides) under Phocoena sinus (vaquita). Its description in RNAcentral is "lncRNA (ENSPSNG00000008280.1)". Lineage: Eukaryota; Metazoa; Chordata; Mammalia; Artiodactyla; Phocoenidae. The record is from RNAcentral.
GCUGAAAGUUGGACAAGCAGGAAGUGAACCGACGGCUGCCCGAGAGGAAACAGACUAAGCGAGAGUCCUGCUGCCGACAGGCCCGAGCCGCUCGGAAACAUGGAGGAGGCCAGUGGUGGUGGAGGAGAUGACCGUGUGCGAAACCUGCAGAGUGAAGUGGAGGGAGUAAAGAACAUUAUGACCCAGAAUGUGGAGCGGAUCCUGGCCCGGGGAGAAAACUUGGAUCAUCUCCGUAACAAGACAGAGGAUCUGGAAGCCACAUCCGAGCACUUCAAGACCACAUCGCAGAAGGUGGCUCGGAAGUUCUGGUGGAAGAAUGUGAAGAUGAUCGUCCUCAUCUGCGUGAUUGUUUUUAUCAUCGUCCUCUUCAUCGUGCUCUUUGCCACGGGUGCCAUCCCUUAAGUAACUUAGGGAACCCCUCCCACCCUGCCCUCUUCUUGGGUGGCAGCCUUCCAUAGUGGGUGCCAAGAGGCGCCCUCUCUCCUGUCCUUCUCCACAGGGAAUGCUGCUCCGUCCUCCCGCCCCUCAUUCUGGGGCCCCUCUACCACACUGUCUGACCCAGGGAGCACCUUGGUCCCCAGAAGGAGAGAGCUGGACUGUGGCUGUGUUUCAGGGGUCCUCAGAGUUGGUUGGAGAGACCCAGAAGGGCCAGCACAUGGCUGGGAAACUGAUGGAACUGAGGGUGGCCAGUGGGCAAUAAAGACCUUUCAGUAUCCCUAUGCAUGUGAGGUACUUUCUCCCUUUCCAUUUUGCCUUUGGCCCUUCCAUUUCUUUUCUCCCCAAGGACGCCCUCUGGCAGAGAUCCUCCCUUUGGAGGCCCAAGCUGUUGGAGGAGUGGAGAGCAUAUGUUUGGAGAAGAAAGAUGGAAACUCCCUGUCUUUCUUUAUCUCCCCUUGUUCCAUCAUUGUCACUGGUCUCAAGAACAGGAAUUUUCUGGAGGUCUUGGCAUAUGGAAAAUUCAAAACCUUCCCAGCAUUUUAGGGUCGUAUGUAAGACUUUUAAGUGUCCCCUCUGGGACUUGCCAUUUCCUUUAUUAGUUUUCUGCUGGAAGUGUUAGCCGAGACAUGAAGCCUACCUGGGCAGAGCAUUUAGGAAUCUGGUUAAGGGCCUCCCACCCCUCCCAUCAUUGCCAUUUCUCUUUGGUGGACCUGCUGUAGUCUUAGAGUGAGGGGGUUAGAGGAACUGAACUGCUUUUCCUUCUCUUGUGGUUCUGCGAGUUCUAUUUGUCUUUUGUCUGCCCCUGUCCUUCUGGAACUUAGCAGGGCCUCUGGGUCUCAGCUGUCCUGAGCGGGUGAGCAUCUCUCACCCGUGUCUCGUGGCUGGGCACAGUCAGUGUCACAGGACAGGGCCUAUGGCCUUCCUUCCCCUCCAUGGACAAUGGACCUCUCUGUCUUUGGGCCUCCCUCCUCUCCACCAGGUUCCACCAUCGUUGUCACUCUUUCCAGUGCCCAGUGCGCCUUGGUUUGGGGGAAGGGUUUAUGUCAUCUCUGUCCCUAUUUCCCCCAUAGGCUUUCCAGAAUUGAAAAGAACCUGAUUCGGGGAGGGAAUCUGGAAGGGGUGGGGUUGGGAAACAGGACUGGGGACUAGUACUGGCAAGUCAGGUUCUAGAAUCAUGCUCCAGGGACUUCCCUGGCGGUCCAGUGGUUAAGACUCCACACUUCCAAUGCAGGGGGCGUGGGUUUGAUCCCUGGUUGGGGAAUUAGGAUCCCACAUGCCGCGCAGUGCAGCCAAAAAAAAAAAAAAAAAUAGAACCAUGCCCCGAAAACUAGGAAGGGAGGAAAGCACAGAAGAGACCCUGGGGGCAGACUUUGUCAGGACCCUGUCCAUCCUCUCUCUUCUCAGUCCACUCCUGGACUCGAGGUCCAAGCAACUGGGGUGAUUGGGACCUAGUCUGUCCAGGCUGGGGGUGGGGUCUGUGCUCACAUGGGGCUCAACGUGGGAGAGGGAAGCCCCCAACCCCCUUCCUCAAGAGGGGCCACCUUUGAGAUGUUGGGAUGGUAUGUGGUGGGAUAGAGAACAGGUGGCUGCAGCAGUGAAAGGGCAGGCUGAGGAUGGAUAGACUCAGCUCAGGAAGGCUCUGGACAGGUUAGACACACCAGCCUCCCUCAUCCUCCAGCUGAGGAAGGGGGUCAUAUCAGGACAGGGCUGCACUUGCCCACGUGGUGAAGGGGAAAGAAAGAAAAAGCUAGAGCUAGUACCUUCUCCAUGGGGGUCUGUUUUCUCUUUUUUGGGGGGAGGUACGCGGGCCUCUCACUGUCGGGGCCUCUCCCGUUGCGGAGCACAGGCUCCGGACGCGCAGGCUCAACGGCCAUGGCUCACGGGCCCAGCCGCUCCGUGGCAUGGGGGAUCUUCCCGGACCGGGGCACGAACCCGUGUCCCCUGCAUCGGCAGGUGGACUCUCAACCACUGUGCCACCAGGGAAGCCCUGUUUUCUCUUUUAAUUGAGGUGAAAUUCGCAAAACAUACAACUGACCGUUUUAAAAUGUACCCUCCAGUGGCAGGUAGUGCACUCAUGAUAUUUAUUGUGAAUAAACUUUAUUUAGUUUCA